AUUAUUAAUGGCAAGUCACUCCUUUCUGGGGCCACCACCUUCUGGGCCUGGGGCAGCCCUCCCUCCAGUUUGGUCCACCAGGGCACUAGUGUGCUGCCAGAUCUCAGCCUCCAAGUUGCCUAGGCCACCCCAUGUGACCCUGAUGGCAGCUCCUGUGGGUCCACUAGGACCCAGCCUACUGGUUUGUGCAGACGUGACCAGGGGCAGGGUGCAUAUGCCUCACGUGCACAGGAGUGUGUGCCCGAGCAGGAGCCUUCCUCCACCUGUGUGCAUGUCCAUGGGCUUCCGUCCACUAACGGCUUCCAGGGAGCAUUCCCAACUGUUCCAGGGGCUGAGUGAGGCCUGGGGCUCUUCUCUAAACCCUGCCUGUCCCUGUGCUGCUUCCUGUCUGUGCACCCAGCUCCUGCCCACCAAGGGAGAGCAGCUGCCUGGGGAAUCCAUUAAGGCCUGUUGUCAUGUGAGUUGCAUAAGGGAUAUAAGAGAAGGUGGAGAACUGCACUGUGCCGUUCUGGAACCACCAGUCUUGUGCCCUGGGGCCAGAGGGGAUGCCCUUCACAAAGGAGGCCAGAGUAUGGUGAGGCCAACAGAGCAGGAGAUGACCACCACUGAAAGGAGUUUGUUACACACAGUUCUGAAGAGCCAGAUGAUGGAGGCCGCAGGCUUGGCGUUGUCUGCGUGGCAGGUGAGGUUGAGGGGGUCUCCCGCCCGCAGGCUGAUCACAGGCCCCCCCAGGAUGACGGGGUCGUCGGGCGGCACUGCGGGGACAGGAGUCGAGAGUUCAGUGAGGGCACCUCCCCUCCCGCGGGGCUGGCAGGCUGGGCUGGGCGGAUUUUAUGGAGCCAAUGACAAACAAUAAUUAUCAUACUUUAAUAAAAUGUGUAAUCCCCUUGUAUUAUAACAGUAGCAACAUCAGCAAUAAUCCCUGACAUAUGCACUGCGUGUUUAUUUGCAGAGGAUGUUCAUGUCGCCCUCUCAUCUGCUGCUCACGACGAGCCUGUGAGGGGACAGGGCGGGCAUCAUUAGCCUCGUUUCACAGAUCAGGAAGCAGAGCUCGCUCGGAAAUAACAGCCAUAUUCCUUUCUUUUUAACUUUAUAUAUUUACUUUUAAACAAAGCACAGUCACAUGUGUUGUCUACUUUAAUCCUCACAACGAUCUUGUGAGGUAAACAGUAUCAUUAUCCUAAUUGCACAGACCUGGAAACUAAGGCUCAGCCGGAUUAAGUGACUUGCUCAAGGUCACACAGCAAAUGAGUGGCAGAGCCAGGACUGGAAGCCAGGUCCUCUGAUGCAUGGAGCCACAGGUCAGCCCCUUCCCUCGCAGGGGACAGGUGGCAGGCAACUUUUCAAGGCUGGGACAAGGUUUCAGGGGCUGUGAACCCUUCAUCUCCUUAGCACUUCCUUCCUCCAGAGCGCCCCAGCCCCUCCUCCCAGAGCCAGCGAGAGUGUCUCCCGUCCUGGUUCUCACACUUCCACUACAUUCACAUAGCUGGUCUGAGACUCCGGGCUCUUGCUGAGAGGUGGGGAGAGCCAGGAGGAGAGGGAUGUCCCCCGUGGGGAGCCUGACUCCCACAGCACCCAGUGGAGAACCUGGUGCCUGACGGAAGCUCCAUAAACAUUUGCAUCUCCAAUGGAGUCACCCCUUUGACCCCCAUGAUGACCAUGGGAAGCAAGAUGGGCAAUGACAGUGGCAGAUGACCGUCGUUUGGAGAAGAGGCCCAGAGAAGUUAAGUGGCAGGCCUAAGGUCACAGAGUGUAUUCUGAUGUUCGUGCUUGUGGACAUCGAGGGUCUCAGGCCUCUGCUGCUCCCUGCCUCUCCUUCUUGGACAAACCAGAGAUGGGGCAGGGCUCCCCGGAGACCACCUGAGGAAUCCAUAGUCUUACCCCGCCCAGGGAGGGGCUGGGUCAGUCAGUUCUGGAGGUCUGGGGAGGGCUGAGCCACAUGUUUGCUCAGUCAAUGGAGGAAGGGGUAAUUGAGUGACAAGUUGGGGUCCUGGCGCAAAGGGCCUUCUUUGCCUCAUUGCCAGAGAAGGUCCAUCCUGGCACCCAGGCCCUGUGCAAGCUCCUGUGGUCGUGGGCUGGGGGAAGACAGAUGCAGCAGCUCUGGACAGCUCCAGGCUAGUCCCGCCCUAGGAGCUGCACAGCCCAGGGUCGCCCCCUGCUGCCACUCUCCUGGUGUACCCUGGCGUCUCAGGAAACUCCAGGAGGCUCUGGGGCCAGGUGCCCAGGGUGGAGGUGCUCCGGCUGAGCUUGCCCAGAGCAGGAGUGUUGGAAAGAACCGUUUGAAGCUUCAGGAAUAGAAUAAAUGCCUGGCCGUGCUUGUCCCAUUAGGAAAAAGGGCCUGUCCACCCACUUUUGAAAAACUUGACCAUGAAAACCCUAUGAAUAGCGGAGCGUUGUCUGAUACAGCGCCGAAAGGCAUCACUGUUCUGCUGCGGCCCCAGGACUCAGGCAGGGCCAGAGAGAGGGCUGUGUUCAUGCUGGGAGAGCUGACUGGAGCAGAGGGAGGACACCCAGGGGCCUCUGGGCUCAUCCUAAUCAGCAGCCCUCACACCUGGAAUCCUCCUUCGUCCAGUGUCCCGGGGGCAGUCCUGCACAGCCGCAUUCCAUUCUUCCCUCCGACAUUCCUCCUUCCGUUUCUCCCGCUCAGCCUCUUCCAUGUCCCAGUCUGUGCAUAUCACGGCUGAGUAAAGCCAGACACGGCCUGCCCUCUUGAAGCUGAUGGGAGACCUCUGUUACUCAGAGCGUGUGCCCGGGAUGCACCUGCAGCAGCCACAUCACCUGGGAGCUUGUUAGAAAUGCAGCCACUGGUGCUCUGCCUCAGGACCGCCGGAACCAGAAUCGGCACUGAAGAAAGACCCCAGAUAAUUUGUAUGUACAUCAGUGUUUGAGGAGCACUGCUCUAGAGAGCCCCAAGGAAUAAUUACAAACUAAUGAGUGCUUUGAGGGAAAGGCUCAUUGGACAAGGAGAGCACACAGAGGGGCCCUUCGCUGGCUCCCUCGGUGACUUCUGAGUUAGGUUGGAGAAGGCACGUACUGCUCACUGGACGUGGGAUUUGAAGUUAGUGCUCUUGUUUCAUGACAGAUUCCUUUGCAUAUGGGAUUUCUUUAGCAUGGAAUGUGGAGUUCUCUUUCCCCUUCUUUUCCUGGCUCACUCUUACUCAGCCUUCAAGACUUAGCUAAGGGGCUGCCAGUCUAUGAGGCCUUUCUGGAAUCUCCCAGUUGGGCCAAGUAACUUUUGUCUAUGGUCCCAUAGCCGUCCGGGCAUCCGUCUGUCUCAAUAUCUAACCCAUCCUCUGGGAAUGGUCUGCAUGUGCUGGCCCUCCCCUAGACUGCAACCUUAUCCACCCGUGAGCCUCACCACCUGGCAUAGCUCCUGCCACGCUGGGGACAACACAGAUUGUUUGCUCAGCCAAACCUGGCUUGAGUCCAUUACUUUACGAGCUGUAGGAUUGUGGGCAAGUUAUAUAAUCUGACAACCAUAGUCCUCUUAUCGUGGAAGUGGGUAAUAAAGAAAUCUGCAGGGUUAUUAUGAGAAUUAUCUUAAUGAUAUAACAAAUGCUGAGAUAGCUUUGUAAAGAGCUAUACGAAUAUUGGUUAUGUUCGAUUUUUAAGAAUAUUUAAUUUUUCUUAAUUAUUUAAGAAUAAUAUUCCUGCUUUGUGAAAGGCACUGUGCCAAGGGCCUCUUGUUUUAUUCUCAGUAUCCUUCGAAGCAGGUACUAUUAGGAUCUCCAUUUGACAGAUUAGGAAAUUGAGGCUAAGAAAGGGCCAAUAUUGGCUAAGCCAACACAGCAGGGAAGUGGGAGAGCUGGAAUUUAAAUCCAGGUUUGUUUGACCCCAGAAUACGUUCCGCUAGAGUUAGAGAGCUCACGGACCUGCCCUGAAGCUGCAACAGUCCUGCAGGGCCCUUUACACCAACCCUCCGCCCUCAUCCUGAUCCUUUGUCCCAUAAAGGGGCAGGCUCCAUCUGUGCCAGGGGCGUUCAGACCUCGCACCCCCUCAGCCCAACCUGAUUUCAGAGCGCUCGAGGAAGCAUGGACCUGGCUCGCGGUUGGUGUUUGACAGAUGUCUGCUAAGCAGGUGGACAAAUGAUGUUUAUGCUUAGAUCCACUCACUGCUCGCUUUUGUGAACUGCCCUGUUUUCAGGUUCUGGGCAACGUGUAACCCGCAGCCUCACGCACAUGGCUGCGCCACCCACUGGCCAAAGUGCAGAACUGCAGAAUGUAAAGAUGGGACUGGGGAUGUGCCGGUUUUUGCGGACCUGCUUCUCAGCGCUAGCUCCGCGCUCACUCAGAAGAUGAAUUAAUGCGCCAGGGCCCACUGUGCGCCAAGCCCUGUUCUGAGAACUGUGGAUACAAAGCUCCUGCCCCAGUGGAGUUCUUAUUCUAGUGGGAGAGACAGACUAUACGUGAAUAAAUAUAUAAUACGA
Equus caballus (horse) is the source of this 4426-nucleotide non-coding RNA. Lineage: Eukaryota; Metazoa; Chordata; Mammalia; Perissodactyla; Equidae. The record is from RefSeq and is a predicted model, not a curated record.